This 145-nucleotide non-coding RNA is filed under the name Chloroflexota bacterium. Lineage: Bacteria; Bacillati; Chloroflexota. The record is from RNAcentral.
ACAAUUGAAUAGGUGAGGGGUGCCCGAGCGAGAGCGAGGGCUUAAAUGGAAGGCAAGAGCGGUGCGAAUCCGCCACAGUCCCGCCUGCUGUAAUUGAGGUUUCAGCCUCAUAAGUCAGAACACCAACCCCGGUCCCGGUCGCCUC